Molecule: ribosomal RNA, 253 nt
Filed under: uncultured bacterium
Lineage: Bacteria
Description: partial 16S ribosomal RNA
Rfam family: Bacterial small subunit ribosomal RNA
Source: RNAcentral
UACGUAGGGUGCAAGCGUUAUCCGGAAUUAUUGGGCGUAAAGAGCUCGUAGGCGGUUUGUCGCGUCUGCUGUGAAAACUGGGGGCUCAACCCCCAGCCUGCAGUGGGUACGGGCAGACUAGAGUGCGGUAGGGGAGAUUGGAAUUCCUGGUGUAGCGGUGGAAUGCGCAGAUAUCGGGAGGAACACCAAUGGCGAAGGCAGCUCGCUGGGACGGUACUGACGCUGAGACGCGAAAGCGUGGGGAGCAAACAGG